This 438-nucleotide ribosomal RNA is filed under the name uncultured bacterium. RNAcentral describes it as "bacterial SSU rRNA". It matches the Rfam family "Bacterial small subunit ribosomal RNA", at positions 975 to 1413 of the family's 1533-position model. The record is from RNAcentral.
CAACACUUGACAUGUUCGUCGCGACUCUAAGAGAUUAGAGUUUUCGGUUCGGCCGGACGAAACACAGGUGCUGCAUGGCUGUCGUCAGCUCGUGUCGUGAGAUGUUGGGUUAAGUCCCGCAACGAGCGCAACCCUCACUUUUAGUUGCCAUCAUUAAGUUGGGCACUCUGAAAGAACUGCCAGUGAUAAGCUGGAGGAAGGUGGGGAUGACGUCAAGUCCUCAUGGCCCUUACGUGUUGGGCUACACACGUGCUACAAUGGUAUCUACAACAGGAAGCAAGACUGCGAGGUCAAGCAAAUCCUUAAAAGAUACCUCAGUUCGGAUUGCACUCUGCAACUCGAGUGCAUGAAGCUGGAAUUACUAGUAAUCGUGGAUCAGCGUGCCACGGUGAAUGCGUUCCCGGGUCUGUACACACCGAAUCUAGAGCAUCGGAGCGC